GUUAAUGUAGCUUAUUUAAUUGAAAGCUCUGAAAUGCUUAGAUUGUUUCAUUUCCCCCUUAC
RNAcentral lists this transfer RNA (62 nucleotides) under Mus terricolor (Earth-colored mouse). Its description in RNAcentral is "partial tRNA-Phe". Lineage: Eukaryota; Metazoa; Chordata; Mammalia; Rodentia; Muridae. The record is from RNAcentral.